Molecule: long non-coding RNA, 425 nt
Filed under: Mytilus galloprovincialis (Mediterranean mussel)
Lineage: Eukaryota; Metazoa; Mollusca; Bivalvia; Mytilida; Mytilidae
Source: RNAcentral
GUUGUCCAUCUGAUGAGUUAAGCCUUUUUUAACUGAUUUUUAUAGUUCGUUCUUAUGUUGUACUGUUAUACCACUGUCCCAGGUUAGGGGGAGGGUUGGGAUCCCGCUAACAUGUUUAACCCCGCCACAUUAUUUAUGUAUGUGCCUGUCCCAAGUCAGGAGCCUGUAAUUCAGUGGUUGUCGGUUGUUUAUGUGUAACAUAUUUGUUUUUCGUUCAUUUUUUUUACAUAAAUAAGGCCGUUAGUUUUCUCGUUUGAAUUGUUUUACAUUGUCUUAUUGGGACCUUUUAUAGCUGACUAUGCGGUAUGGGCUUUGCUCAUUGUUGUAGGCCGUACGGUGACCUAUAGUUGUUAAUGUCUGUGUCAUUUUGGUCUUUUGUGGAUAGUUGUCUCAUUGGCAAUCAUACCACAUCUUCUUUUUUAUAU